RNAcentral lists this RNase P RNA (287 nucleotides) under Candidatus Bathyarchaeota archaeon. RNAcentral's name for it is "RNase P RNA component". It matches the Rfam family "Archaeal RNase P". From Rfam's summary of the family: Ribonuclease P (RNase P) is a ubiquitous endoribonuclease, found in archaea, bacteria and eukarya as well as chloroplasts and mitochondria. Its best characterised activity is the generation of mature 5'-ends of tRNAs by cleaving the 5'-leader elements of precursor-tRNAs. Cellular RNase Ps are ribonucleoproteins. Lineage: Archaea; Thermoproteati; Candidatus Bathyarchaeota. The record is from RNAcentral.
GUGAGCUGGGGAGCAGCUUUCGGGCGCAAGUCUGAGGAAACUCCAUCCACCGUGCAGGACUGCGAUGACGUGAGUCAUAGGGGGAGACCUCUGGCAACGGACAGAAACGAUACCUCCCGCGGCAUGCGAUGAUUCCUUGGAGGAUGAGGUCGCCGCGGGCCUGGGUGAGACGACUGACCCGCAGGGUGCAAGGGCGAAUAGGCGUCUAUACCCGCCUGCAAGGGGACGCGGGUAGCCUGCAUAGCUAAAUGCUGCAUAAUACAGGAGAUGGGUUACACCCAGCACAC